Molecule: regulatory RNA element, 166 nt
Organism: Lachnospiraceae bacterium 28-4
Lineage: Bacteria; Bacillati; Bacillota; Clostridia; Lachnospirales; Lachnospiraceae
Source: Rfam
UUGUGCAGGGAAAUGAGAUUUUCUUAAUAUUCCGCCUAAAAUCAGCAAUUUGGUGACACGGAUGUCACCAAAAGCCCGCAAUGAGCCCGGAUGGCGAAUCGCGGGCGGUUGCGUCCGGCUGAUACUACUUUACCGGAAUAUUUAGAAAAUCCAUGUCCCGGAACCA